This 640-nucleotide long non-coding RNA is filed under the name Anas zonorhyncha (Eastern spot-billed duck). RNAcentral's name for it is "lncRNA (ENSAZOG00000017712.1)". Lineage: Eukaryota; Metazoa; Chordata; Aves; Anseriformes; Anatidae. The record is from RNAcentral.
UUCGCCGCGGCCGCUGCCUCCUGGCGCCGCCGCCAGCCCCGCCCCGCACCUGCCGCUGGGACACGCCCCCGGGCACCAGGCCACGCCCACACCAAGCCACGCCCACCAAUCAAACCACGCCCAUACCCAACAGGCCACGCCCCUACCAUUAAGCCGCGCCCCCAACCAUCAGACCACGCCCCUAGCAUUAAGCCACGCCCACCCCACAGGCUCCACCCCAUCCACCAAGCCACGCCCCUUCCAUCAGGCCACGCCCAUUCCGCUAGGCCNNNNNNNNNNUGCCGGUGCCGCGGGUGCUGCUGGCUGUGGCCGUGGCCGUGGCGCUGGGCGCAGGCUCCCGCUCGCCCCUCAACGACUUCCAGCGCCUGCGGGCCACCGAGCUGCUGCCCCUGCCCCCCGAGGCACCGCCACCGCCAGAGCCAGGCCCGGCCGAGCAGUGCGCCCAGCGCUGUGCCACCAGCCCGGCCUGCCGGGCCUUCCACCACGAGCGGCAGAGCCAGCUGUGCCAGCUGCUGCGCUGGACGCAGCACUCGCCCGGCGUGCGGCUGCAGAAGAACAUCCACUGCGACCUGUACCAGAAGAAAGGUGGGCACCGGGGCCGCACGCCGGGCACCCGCCCGCUGCCCGCCCGGCCCUGACG